AUGCUUCCCCCGCUCUGUGACCCAUCAAAACAGGCGCCUUUUACCCCCAAAUCAGGCGGAAAAAUCCCUCCCCAACCCCGGCCGGGGCGAAGGGCUGUGCCUGCAGCUAGGACAGAACAUCCGGGAGGGCAUUUGUUUGGAUCACAUGGGCGAGAGUAUAAAAAUGGGUCCUGCCUGUCCGGGCCAGUUUGCACCUGGAAAGGGAAGGAGCCGCUGGAGCGAAGGGAAGAAACGCGGGACAGAGCGGGGCCGCUGCGCUCAGGUAACCACGCCUGGAGCAAAUUAUCCCCCUUUUUCCCCAGGGAGCGGCCAUGGGGCAUGGAAAGGGUGAGGGUUUCUCCGCCGGGAAUUCGUGGUGGAACGCAAAGGCUCCGAGGGCUGGGAAAUGGGGGAAUUUUGCGGAUCCCGGCCCAGGAACAGCUCCAAGCGCCCCCCGAGGGUUUUCCCAGCGCCUGGGGGCGAUGCAGCCUCUCCGAAGCGGGCGGCAUUCGCAGCUCCUCCUUCCCUCUUGGGGACCCCUUGGAGCUGUCGAGAAUUGGGGUGCGGGACCUGUGGGGUGCCUCGGUGGCUCGCAGGGCGGCGAGGAGGCUGCUGAGGCAGAGCCAUGUGCGAGGAGACACCGAGAUGUGCAGGCAAAGAGCUUUCCAGCGUGGAAUUUCGCCCCUCUCUGGCACGGGAGCGGCGCGGAUAAAGCCGGCCGCUCCUCCCUGCAUCACUCGGGGCUCUUGGUGGUCCCUGGGCAUCAGCACGGCCAACACGGAGCUCUGGUCUCACGUCCCUGCCUCAACGCCCUGCGGCCGCAGCUUCCUUCGCCCUUGGGGCUGGAAGUGGCUUUGGGGAGCCGGGAGGUGUUUCACAAACCAGGGGUGAGGAAAGGGAGAGAUCCUCCUGCCCCGGGGCUCCUGGAAAGUGGCUUUGGGGAGCCGGGAGGUGUUUCACAAGCCAGGGGUGAGGAAAGAGCGAGAUCCUCCAGCCCCGGGGCUCCUGCCUGCUCCUGGUGCUGUCAGCCCCAUGUCCCUCUUCCUGCUGUUCCCUCCCUGCCUCUCCCCGCUGCGAUCUCCAGAAGUUUUCUCCCCACUUAACGCUGCUGCUUCUCCUUCUCUGCUCUCCAUCCCUGCUUGGAGACAGUUGCUUAGAGACAAACUCCCGUUUUUUUGAUGUUGUAAUCCUUUUUUUUUUUUUUUAAUGGGGGAACAGUGGGUGCAAAGGCAGACGAUGGCACCGUGGGUUGGGAGCAGAGUGGGGAGGAGAGUCCAGGAAAGAUCUGACACCACAGGAAAAGGUCUAAACCAAGCAAAACCAGCGUUUUUCCCUCAUUAGGAAAUACCCAAGCCCCUUCACGCUCCGUGCCCAGAAACAAGUCCCAGGAGGGUCCCACUGCCUCCCUUCUCACCCCAGGCCCCCACCCAGGUGCGGCAUGAGAAUGAAUUCCUUGGCUGGGGGUGGCUUGGAGGGUUAUUUUCCUCUUCUGACGAAGAGCCCAGGCUGGUUGGCAGCAUUAUCCGCCUAUUUUCUGCACAGCUCUCCGUAGCAAGAGAAACCAGGAGAAAAAGGGAAACAGAGAAGCCACAGGAUGCACCGUUAUAAGAGGAACUUUCCCCAAAAUAGAAGCUUUUCACAGUUUUUUCACGAGGCGUCAGCAGCUCUUAAUGCUGUAUGAAACUGUGAAUCCUGCCUGGAGCAGCCGGCGGGAGCUUGUCAGUGCUCCAGGCUGCAGCUGCAGCCUUUCCGAGGGUGUGGGGCCGGCUGUGCCCCCCAAAACCUUCCUGGGGUGUGGGGAACAAGCAGCUGGAAGCGCAGCCUCGGCUGUGAUUACGUUCCAGCAGCAUUUCCUGCACCCCUCGGGGUGAUAAAUCCAGUGUACCCCCAG
Molecule: long non-coding RNA, 1870 nt
Filed under: Cyanistes caeruleus (blue tit)
Lineage: Eukaryota; Metazoa; Chordata; Aves; Passeriformes; Paridae
Description: lncRNA (ENSCCEG00000006544.1)
Source: RNAcentral